Molecule: ribosomal RNA, 1092 nt
Filed under: Parawixia audax
Lineage: Eukaryota; Metazoa; Arthropoda; Arachnida; Araneae; Araneidae
Description: SSU rRNA
Rfam family: Eukaryotic small subunit ribosomal RNA
Source: RNAcentral
CCGGACGGUCCGCCUACCGGUGGUUACUGUUCGCUGCCGAGCGUUUCGGCGGUUAUUCUUGAUGAUCUUCACCGGUUGUCUCGGGUGACCGCCAAGUUUACUUUGAAAAAAUUAGAGUGCUCAAAGCAGGCGCGACGCCUGAAUAAUUGUGCAUGGAAUAAUGGAAUAGGACCUCGGUUCUAUUUUGUUGGUUUUCGGAACACGAGGUAAUGAUUAAGAGGGACAGACGGGGGCAUUCGUAUUGCGACGCUAGAGGUGAAAUUCUUGGACCGUCGCAAGACGAACUACUGCGAAAGCAUUUGCCAAGAAUGUUUCCAUUAAUCAAGAACGAAAGUUAGAGGUUCGAAGGCGAUCAGAUACCGCCCUAGUUCUAACCAUAAACGAUGUCAGCCAGCAUUCCGCCUGUGUUCCUCAAAUGACACGGCGGGCGGCUUCCGGGAAACCAAAGCUUUUGGGUUCCGGGGGAAGUAUGGUUGCAAAGCUGAAACUUAAAGGAAUUGACGGAAGGGCACCACCAGAAAUGGAGCCUGCGGCUUAAUUUGACUCAACACGGGGAAACUUACCCGGCCCGGACACAGGAAGGAUUGACAGAUUAAGAGCUCUUUCUUGAUUCUGUGGGUGGUGGUGCAUGGCCGUUCUUAGUUGGUGGGGCGACUUGUCUGGUUAAUUCCGAUAACGAACGAGACUCUAGCCUACUAAAUAGACGUUCCGAUCCUCUUUCGUCGGACGUUCUUCUUAGAGGGACAAGCGGCGUUUAGCCGCACGAGACAGAGCAAUAACAGGUCUGGGAUGCCCUUAGAUGUCCGGGGCCGCACGCGCGCUACAUUGAAGGAAUCAGCGUGUGCUUUCCCUGUCCGAAAGGACUGGGUAACCCGUUGAACCUCCUUCGUGCUGGGGAUUGGAGCCUGUAAUUAUUCUCCAUGAACGAGGAAUUCCCAGUAAGCACGAGUCAUCAGCUCGUGUUGAUUACGUCCCUGCCCUUUGUCCACACCGCCCGUCGCUACUACCGAUUGAAUGAUUUAGUGAGGUCUUCGGACUGGCGCUCGGAUUGGCCUUCGCGGUCGAGCCGAUGUGCCGGAAAGAUGACCAAAC